CCUACGGGGGGCAGCAGUGGGGAAUAUUGCACAGUGGGCGCAAGCCUGAUGCAGCCAUGCCGCGUGUGUGAAGAAGGCCUUCGGGUUGUAAAGCACUUUCAGCGGGGAGGAAGACGUUAAGGUUAAUAACCUUGGCGAUUGACGUUACCCGCAGAAGAAGCACCGGCUAACUCCGUGCCAGCAGCCGCGGUAAUACGGAGGGUGCAAGCGUUAAUCGGAAUUACUGGGCGUAAAGCGCACGCAGGCGGUCUGUCAAGUCGGAUGUGAAAUCCCCGGGCUCAACCUGGGAACUGCAUUCGAAACUGGCAGGCUAGAGUCUUGUAGAGGGGGGUAGAAUUCCAGGCGUAGCGGUGAAAUGCGUAGAGAUCUGGAGGAAUACCGGUGGCGAAGGCGGCCCCCUGGACAAAGACUGACGCUCAGGUGCGAAAGCGUGGGGAGCAAACAGGAUUAGAUACCCGGGUAGUC
Molecule: ribosomal RNA, 465 nt
Filed under: uncultured bacterium
Lineage: Bacteria
Description: bacterial SSU rRNA
Rfam family: Bacterial small subunit ribosomal RNA
Source: RNAcentral